Molecule: long non-coding RNA, 421 nt
Filed under: Homo sapiens (human)
Lineage: Eukaryota; Metazoa; Chordata; Mammalia; Primates; Hominidae
Description: non-protein coding lnc-RGN-2:1
Source: RNAcentral
UGGCUUUGAUGACAAAAAACAUAGAUCACAACACCCAAGUCCCUUUGAAUGCCUGGAAAGGCUUCCCAAGAAGGUUGGGUACAAACAAGCCCAGGAUGCAAAGAUUGCAGUAAAUACCUAACUCAUCAAUGCCCAGGCAAGCAUUAUGACCACCCAGGAAAACAUGACCUUACCAAAUGAACUACAUAAGACACCAGGUAUCAAUCCUGGAAAGACAGAGAUAUGUGACCUCUCAUACAGAGAAUUCAAAAUAGCUGUCUUGAGGAAACUCACGGAAACUCACAGAUACUCAAGAUAACAUAAAGAAGGAAAAAUAGCCUCAAAGGGCAAAUCUAAAAGUUAUUGGCCUUAAAAAGGAGACAGAAAGAGAGAUAGGGAAAAAAGUUUUCUGUUAAGGGCUAAUAACAGAGAACGUCCCAAA